GAAUGAGCCUGCGAGUUAUGGUGUGUGGCGAGGUUAACCCGUGUGGGGGAGCCGUAGCGAAAGCGAGUCUGAAGAGGGCGUUUGAGUCGCAUGCCAUAGGCCCGAAGCGGGGUGAUCUACGCAUGGGCAGGGUGAAGCUCAGGUAAGACUGGGUGGAGGCCCGAACCCACCAGGGUUGAAAACCUGGGGGAUGACCUGUGUGUAGGGGUGAAAGGCCAAUCAAACUCCGUGAUAGCUGGUUCUCCCCGAAAUGCAUUUAGGUGCAGCGUCGCGUGGUUCUUGCCGGAGGUAGAGCUACUGGAUGGCCGAUGGGCCCUCACAGGUUACUGACGUCAGCCAAACUCCGAAUGCCGGCAAGGUGUAGCGCGGCAGUGAGACGGCGGGGGAUAAGCUCCGUGCGUCGAGAGGGAAACAGCCCAGAUCGCCGGCUAAGGCCCCUAAGUGUGUGCUAAGUGGGAAAGGAUGUGCAGUCGCGAAGACAACCAGGAGGUUGGCUUAGAAGCAGCCAUCCUUGAAAGAGUGCGUAAUAGCUCACUGGUCAAGUGAUUGUGCGCCGAUAAUGUAGCGGGGCUUAAGCACACCGCCGAAGCCGCGGCAGCCACGUUGUGUGGCUGGGUAGGGGAGCGUCCCCAUAUCGGUGAAGUCACCAAGUGAUUGGUGGUGGAGGUGUGGGGAGUGAGAAUGCAGGCAUGAGUAGCGAUAAGGCAAGUGAGAACCUUGCCCGCCGGAAGACCAAGGGUUCCUGGGCCAGGCCAGUCCGCCCAGGGUGAGUCGGGACCUAAGGCGAGGCCGACAGGCGUAGUCGAUGGACAACGGGUUGAUAUUCCCGUACCCGUGUAUGAGCGACCCUGGUGAAUCCAUUCUGCUAACCGCCCAAAACCCGGCCGAUCACCUUUCGGGGUGACGGUUGGGGGCUGCGCGGGACCCGGGUGGGUAGUAGCCAAGCGAUGGGGUGACGCAGGAAGGUAGCCGUACCAGCGAGUGGUAGUGCUGGGGUAAGCCUGUAGGGCGAGGGAUAGGCAAAUCCGUCCCUUGUGUGCCUGAGAGGUGAUGCAUAGCCGAGUGAGGCGAAUUCGGUGAUCCUAUGCUGUCGAGAAAAGCCUCUAGCGAGCGCAUACACGGCCCGUACCCCAAACCGACACAGGUGGUCAGGUAGAGAAUACCGAGGCGUACGAGUGAACUGUGGUUAAGGAACUCGGCAAAAUGCCCCCGUAACUUCGGGAGAAGGGGGACCCACGUACCGUGAACGUCCUUGCGGCGGGAGCGGGGGUGGGUGGCACAGACCAGCGAGAAGCGACUGUUUACUAAAAACACAGGUCCGUGCGAAGUCGCAAGACGAUGUAUACGGACUGACGCCUGCCCGGUGCUGGAAGGUUAAGAGGACCCGUUAACCCUUCGGGGUGAAGCGGAGAAUUUAAGCCCCAGUAAACGGCGGUGGUAACUAUAACCAUCCUAAGGUAGCGAAAUUCCUUGUCGGGUAAGUUCCGACCUGCACGAAUGGCGUAACGACUUCUCGACUGUCUCAACCACAGACUCGGCGAAAUUGCACUACGAGUAAAGAUGCUCGUUACGCGCGGCAGGACGAAAAGACCCCGGGACCUUUACUACAACUUGGUAUUGGUGCUCGAUGCGGUUUGUGUAGGAUAGGUGGGAGACUGUGAAGCCUGGACGCCAGUUCGGGUGGAGUCGUCGUUGAAAUACCACUCUGAUCGUAUUGGGCAUCUAACCUCGAACCCUGAAUCGGGUUCAGGGACAGUGCCUGGCGGGUAGUUUAACUGGGGCGGUUGCCUCCUAAAAAGUACGGAGGCGCCCAAAGGUUCCCCUCAACCUGGACGGCAAUCAGGUGUUGAGUGUAAGUGCACAAGGGAGCUUGACUGCGAGACGGACAUGUCGAGCAGGGACGAAAGUC
This 1909-nucleotide ribosomal RNA is filed under the name compost metagenome. Its description in RNAcentral is "bacterial LSU rRNA". It matches the Rfam family "Bacterial large subunit ribosomal RNA", at positions 613 to 2407 of the family's 2925-position model. The record is from RNAcentral.